Cyanistes caeruleus (blue tit) is the source of this 2191-nucleotide long non-coding RNA. The record is from Ensembl. Lineage: Eukaryota; Metazoa; Chordata; Aves; Passeriformes; Paridae.
UUCUUUCUUUCUUUCUUUCUCUCUUUCUCUCUUUCUCUCUUUCUCUCUUCCUUUCUUCCUUUCUUUCUUUCUUUCUUUCUUUCUUUCUUUCUUUCUUUCUUUCUUUCUUUCUUUCUUUCUUUCUUUCUUUCUUUCUUUCUCUCUUUCCUUCCUUCUUUCUUUCUUGCUUGCUUUCUUUCUUGCUUUCUUUCUUUCUCUCUUUCUUUCUUUCUUUCUCCCUUUCUUGCUUUCUUUCUUUCUUGCUUUCUUUCUUUCUUGCUUUCUUUCUCUCUUUCCUUCUUUCUUUCUUUCUUUCUCUUUCUUUCUUUCUCUCUUUCUUUCUUUCUCCCUUUCUUUCUUUCUUUCUUUCUUUCUUUCUUUCUUUCUUUCUUUCUUUCUUUCUUUCUUUCUUUCUUUCUUUCUUUCUCUCUUUCUCUCUUUCUCUCUUUCUCUCUUUCUCCCUUUCUCCCUUUCUCCCUUUCUCCCUUUCUCCCUUUCUUUCUCCCUUUCUUUCUCCCUUUCUUUCUCUCUUUCUUUCUCUCUUUCUUUCUUUCUUUCUUUCUUUCUUGCUUUCUUUCUUGCUUUCUUUCUUGCUUUCUUUCUUGCUUUCUUUCUCUCUUUCUCCCUUUCUCCCUUUCUCCCUUUCUCCCUUUCUCCCUUUCUUUCUUUCUUUCUUUCUUUCUUCCUUUCUUCCUUUCUUUCUUUCUUUCUUUCUUCCUUUCUUCCUUUCUUCCUUUCUUCCUUUCUUCCUUUCUUUCUUCCUUUCUUUCUUCCUUUCUUUCUUCCUUGCUUCCUUGCUUCCUUGCUUCCUUGCUUCCUUGCUUCCUUGCUUUCUUGCUUUCUUGCUUUCUUGCUUGCUUUCUUUCUUGCUUUCUUUCUUGCUUUCUUUCUUGCUUUCUUGCUUUCUUGCUUUCUUUCUCGCUUUCUUUCUUUCUUUCUUUCUUGCUUGCUUUCUUGCUUUCUUGCUUUCUUGCUUUCUUGCUUUCUUGCUUUCUCGCUUUCUCUCUUUCUUUCUCUUUCUUUCUUUCUUUCUUUCUUUCUUUCUUUCUUUCUUUCUUUUUCUUUCUUUCUUUCUUCCUUUCUUUCUUCCUUUCUUGCUUCCUUGCUUCCUUGCUUCCUUGCUUCCUUGCUUCCUUGCUUCCUUUCUUCCUUGCUUCCUUGCUUCCUUGCUUUCUUGCUUUCUUGCUUUCUUGCUUUCUUUCUUGCUUUCUUGCUUUCUUGCUUUCUUUCUCGCUUUCUUUCUUUCUUUCUUUCUUUCUUGCUUUCUUGCUUUCUUGCUUUCUCGCUUUCUCUCUUUCUUUCUCUCUUUCUUUCUUUCUUUCUUGCUUUCUUGCUUUCUUGCUUUCUUGCUUUCUCUCUUUCUUUCUCUCUUGCUUUCUUUCUUGCUUUCUUUCUUUCUUUCUUUCUUUCUUUCUUUCUUUCUUUCUUUCUUUCUUUCUUUCUCCCUUUCUUUCUUUCUCCCUUUCUUUCUUUCUCCCUUUCUUGCUUUCUUGCUUUCUUGCUUUCUUGCUUUCUUGCUUUCUUGCUUUCUCUCUUUUUUUCUCUCUUUCUUUCUUGCUUUCUUUCUUUCUUGCUUUCUUGCUUUCUUGCUUUCUUUCAUUCUUUCUUUCUUGCUUUCUUUCUUUCUCUCUUUCUUUCUUUCUUUCUUUCUUUCUUUCUUGCUUUCUCUCUUUCUUUCUCCCUUUCUUUCUUUCUUUCUCUUUCUUUCUUUCUUUCUUUCUUUCUCUUUCUUUCUUUCUUUCUUUCUUUCUUGCUUUCUUGCUUUCUUGCUUUCUUGCUUUCUUUCUUUCUUGCUUUCUUUCUUUCUUUCUUUCUUUCUUUCUUUCUUUCUUUCUCCCUUUCUUUCUUUCUUUCUGUCUUGCUUUCUUGCUUUCUUGCUUUCUUGCUUUCUUGCUUUCUUGCUUUCUCUUUCUUUCUCUCUUUCUUUCUUUCUUUCUUUCUUUCUUUCUUUCUUUCUUUCUUUCUUUCUGUCUUGCUUUCUUUCUUGCUUUCUUUCUUGCUUUCUUUCUUGCUUUCUUUCUUGCUUUCUUGCUUUCUUUCUUGCUUUCUUUCUUGCUUUCUUUCUUUCUCCCUUUCUUUCUUGCUUUCUUUCUUUCUCCCUUUCUUUCUUUCUUUCUCCCUUUCUCCCUUUUUUCAAAAGAUAGGAUAAACUGACUUUUUAUAUACUUUCCAUAUGAAUAAACUACGCAAAAUAUGUCUUUAGAAAAAAGAC